RNAcentral lists this ribosomal RNA (253 nucleotides) under uncultured bacterium. RNAcentral's name for it is "partial 16S ribosomal RNA". It matches the Rfam family "Bacterial small subunit ribosomal RNA", at positions 524 to 776 of the family's 1533-position model. The record is from RNAcentral.
UACAGGGGGGGCAAGCGUUGUUCGGAAUUACUGGGCGUAAAGGGCUCGUAGGCGGCCAACUAAGUCACACGUGAAAUCCCCAGGCUUAACCUGGGAACUGCGUGUGAUACUGGAUGGCUUGAAUUCGGGAGAGGGAUGCAGAACUCCAGGUGUAGCGGUGAAAUGCGUAGAUAUCUGGAGGAAUACCGGUGGCGAAGGCGGCAUCCUGGACCGACAUUGACGCUGAGGAGCGAAAGCUAGGGGAGCAAACGGG